GAAUAGAUACCCGGGUAGUCCACGCCGUAAACGAUGAGUGCUAGGUGUCGGAGGGGUCCACCCUGCGGUGCCGAAGUUAACACAUUAAGCACUCCGCCUGGGGAGUACGGUCGCAAGACUGAAACUCAAAGGAAUUGACGGGGGACCCGCACAAGCAGUGGAGUAUGUGGUUUAAUUCGAAGCAACGCGAAGAACCUUACCAGGUCUUGACAUCCCUCUGACCGGUGCAGAGAUGUGCCUUUCCUUCGGGACAGAGGAGACAGGUGGUGCAUGGUUGUCGUCAGCUCGUGUCGUGAGAUGUUGGGUUAAGUCCCGCAACGAGCGCAACCCUUGACUUUAGUUGCCAGCACUUCGGGUGGGCACUCUAGAGUGACUGCCGGUGACAAACCGGAGGAAGGCGGGGAUGACGUCAAAUCAUCAUGCCCCUUAUGACCUGGGCUACACACGUACUACAAUGGCCGGUACAACGGGCAGCGAAGAAGCGAUCUGGAGCCAAUCCUACCAAAGCCGGUCUCAGUUCGGAUUGCAGGCUG
Molecule: ribosomal RNA, 533 nt
Filed under: uncultured bacterium
Lineage: Bacteria
Description: bacterial SSU rRNA
Rfam family: Bacterial small subunit ribosomal RNA
Source: RNAcentral